GGGCUCAUAGCUCAGCUGGUUAGAGCACCUGACUCAUAAUCAGGGGGUCCGAGGUUCGAGCCCUCGUGGGCCCACCC
Molecule: transfer RNA, 77 nt
Filed under: Thalassovita sp.
Lineage: Bacteria; Pseudomonadati; Pseudomonadota; Alphaproteobacteria; Rhodobacterales; Roseobacteraceae
Description: tRNA-Met
Rfam family: tRNA
About the family: Transfer RNA (tRNA) molecules are approximately 80 nucleotides in length.
Source: RNAcentral